GUAGGGAAUAUUGGGCAAUGGUCGGAAGACUGACCCAGCCAUGCCGCGUGCAGGAAGACGGCCCUCUGGGUUGUAAACUGCUUUUAUCUGGGAAGAAAAAGGCCAUGCGUGGCAAAUUGCCGGUACCAGAUGAAUAAGCACCGGCUAACUCCGUGCCAGCAGCCGCGGUAAUACGGAGGGUGCGAGCGUUGUCCGGAUUUAUUGGGUUUAAAGGGUGCGUAGGCGGCUGAUUAAGUCAGCGGUGAAAGACUUCGGCUUAACCGGAGCAGUGCCGUUGAUACUGGUUGGCUUGAGUGUCGGAGGGGUACAUGGAAUUGAUGGUGUAGCGGUGAAAUGCAUAGAUACCAUCAGGAACACCGAUAGCGAAGGCAUUGUACUGGCCGACAACUGACGCUGAUGCACGAAAGUGUGGGGAUCGAACAGGAUUAGAUACCCCGGAAGUCC
This 444-nucleotide ribosomal RNA is filed under the name uncultured bacterium. RNAcentral describes it as "partial 16S ribosomal RNA". It matches the Rfam family "Bacterial small subunit ribosomal RNA", at positions 354 to 796 of the family's 1533-position model. The record is from RNAcentral.